RNAcentral lists this ribosomal RNA (147 nucleotides) under Triticum aestivum (bread wheat). Its description in RNAcentral is "partial small subunit ribosomal RNA". Lineage: Eukaryota; Viridiplantae; Streptophyta; Magnoliopsida; Poales; Poaceae. The record is from RNAcentral.
CUCGAUUCGUUAGAACAGCUUCCAUUGAGUCUCUACACCUAUGCUUUUCCUUUGUAUUCUAGUUCGAGAACCCCUUGUUUUCUCAAAACACGGAUUUGGCUCAUGAUUGCCCUUUAUAAUUCCAGGGUUUCUCUAAAUUUGAAUUAA